Molecule: ribosomal RNA, 300 nt
Filed under: Triticum aestivum (bread wheat)
Lineage: Eukaryota; Viridiplantae; Streptophyta; Magnoliopsida; Poales; Poaceae
Description: partial small subunit ribosomal RNA
Source: RNAcentral
AUGAAAUGCAUUGGCCUUCCAUUUUUGACAAUUCUAGUUUUUCAAAUUUUCCAAAUCAUCAAUCAAGACGUUCAUGCAGAAGGCCAAUCACAAUAUAGCAGCUUUGUUUUGAUUCCUCUGCUUUUCUUACGUGAACUUCUGCAAGUUCUUAAGCUUUUGCUUCAGUCAGAAUGCGAUGUAGAUUCAGCGAUAUCAGUAGCUUCUGUCAGGACUAUUUUUACCCUCUUCUUUUGUAUGGAAUCUUCUUUCUUCGGAGCAAGAUUAAUUGGACAAUGCAUAUUACAUACUCAUGUGUACUAA